AGUUGGGGAGAGACUUGCUGCUGACGAUCUUUAUUGUUUUUAGAUUUUAUUUUAUAUUUUCAUCUUCAAGCAACAUACACCACGGGGCCUUAUCCUGUAGAUGUCUAGUUAACUCGUUCCUAACCAAGACAAAGAGGUUAGUAUUGAGUCCAUAUCUCUUUGCUUUGAUUUUAGAGGAGUUAACUAGGCAUCUAUAGGAUGAGGCCUUGUGGUGUAUGUUGUGUGAGGAUGACAUAGUUUUGAUUAAUAAGAUUAGAGAUGGUAUAAACACAAAUUUAGAACU
This 283-nucleotide microRNA precursor is filed under the name Amborella trichopoda. RNAcentral describes it as "miR8555 stem-loop (atr-MIR8555)". Lineage: Eukaryota; Viridiplantae; Streptophyta; Magnoliopsida; Amborellales; Amborellaceae. The record is from miRBase by way of RNAcentral.